Non-coding RNA from Oryza meridionalis, 205 nucleotides. NCBI's taxonomy places the organism in Eukaryota, Viridiplantae, Streptophyta, Magnoliopsida, Poales, Poaceae. The record is from Rfam.
UUUAAGUGCAGUUGUGGGUUUCUAUGUCCAACGUUUCACUGUACGUCUUAUUUGAAAUUUUUUUAUGAGUAGUAUUUUUAUUGUUAUUAGAUGAUAAAACAUAAAUAGUAAUUUAUGGUGACUAUUUUUUUUAAUAUUUUUAUAAAUUUUUUAAAUAAGGCGAACGGUCAAACGUUGGAGACAGAUCUCCACGACUGAUAGUAGA